UCGGAAUGUGAACUGCAGGACAUAUGAGCAUCGACACUUUGAACGCAUAUUGCGGGCGCUGGCUCGUCCACCGCCCAUGUCUGGCUCAGGGUCGGUUUAACAUCUCUCCCCGGGGUUCUCCCCCGGGGCACUGGGCUCUCGCCUCGCCCCUCCCCGGGCUGCGGCGUGGCUUCAAGUUGCGAGCUCGUCUGUCUGGCCCGACGGUUUGACUCUUGGGAUACCUCUCCCGGGUCUCGCCUCUGGCCGGCCUGCGAGCGCUGGCGUUCCCCCCUGUCGGGGACGCCGGCGACCCGAUCCUUACUUCGACCUGAGAGCAGGCAAGGUGACCCGCCAAAUUUAAGCAUAUUAAUAAGCGGAGGAAAAGAAAACAACCGUGAUGCCCUUAGUAAUGGCGAAUGAAACGGGCAGAGCCCAGCACCGAACCGCCGGCCUUCGGUCGCGUGGAAUGUGGUGUUUGGGGGAGCCUCCUCGCGACGUUUCGGCCAGUCAAAGUCCACCUUGAC
RNAcentral lists this ribosomal RNA (503 nucleotides) under Mesocyclops edax. RNAcentral describes it as "eukaryotic LSU rRNA". The stretch from base 304 to 503 matches the Rfam family "Eukaryotic large subunit ribosomal RNA", at positions 1 to 195 of the family's 3401-position model. Lineage: Eukaryota; Metazoa; Arthropoda; Copepoda; Cyclopoida; Cyclopidae. The record is from RNAcentral.